This 330-nucleotide unclassified non-coding RNA is filed under the name soil metagenome. RNAcentral's name for it is "partial contains 5.8S ribosomal RNA, internal transcribed spacer 2, and large subunit ribosomal RNA". The stretch from base 1 to 120 matches the Rfam family "5.8S ribosomal RNA", at positions 35 to 154 of the family's 154-position model. The record is from RNAcentral.
GAUGAAGAACGCAGCGAAAUGCGAUAAGUAAUGUGAAUUGCAGAAUUCAGUGAAUCAUCGAAUCUUUGAACGCACAUUGCGCCCCUUGGUAUUCCGAGGGGCAUGCCUGUUCGAGCGUCAUUAUAACCCCUCAAGCUCAGCUUGGUGUUGGGGCCUGCUGCACUGGCAGCCCUUAAAAUCAGUGGCGGCGCCGUCCGGCUCCGAGCGUAGUAAUUCUUCUCGCUCUGGAGGUCCGGUCGUGUGCUCGCCAGCAACCCCCAAUUUUUUUCAGGUUGACCUCGGAUCAGGUAGGGAUACCCGCUGAACUUAAGCAUAUCAAUAAGCGGAGGA